UGAGCAACCUGCCCUUGACUCUGGAAUAACAGUUGGAAACAGCUGCUAAUACCGGAUAUGACCUCUGACGACAUCGUCUGGAGGUGGAAAGCUCCGGCGGUCAAGGAUGGGCUCGCGGCCUAUCAGCUUGUUGGUGAGGUAAUGGCUCACCAAGGCGACGACGGGUAGCCGGCCUGAGGAGGGUGACCGGCCACACUGGGACUGAGACACGGCCCAGACCUCUACGGGGA
This 230-nucleotide ribosomal RNA is filed under the name uncultured bacterium. Its description in RNAcentral is "partial 16S ribosomal RNA". It matches the Rfam family "Bacterial small subunit ribosomal RNA", at positions 118 to 347 of the family's 1533-position model. The record is from RNAcentral.